GGGCCAUCUGUCUGGGGCACCUGUCAGCCUCUUGAACUCCAGAUUUGAUGGGGCUAAUCUCUGACUGCUGAGGCUGCUGUCCCGUUUCGCCUUCCUGCUCCCUGUGUGUUCCUGCCAAAGACGUGUCCUCUGAUGAAGAGAAUGACCUUUCCCUGGAGAGGAGGAUGGUUCUUUGGUCAAGGGCAUAGGAGGAAAGGCACAGGGGAAAACUGUUUUAAAUAUUCAUAGGUCUAAAAAUGUCUCCCUUCUUUGAUUAUUUGAAAAAAAAAUCUGAUUAUGCAGAACAUUCUCGUUU
Unclassified non-coding RNA from Cavia porcellus (domestic guinea pig), 295 nucleotides. Its record names the gene 7SK. It matches the Rfam family "7SK RNA". From Rfam's summary of the family: 7SK was discovered as an abundant small nuclear RNA in the mid-70s but a possible function has only recently been suggested. Two independent studies have found that 7SK RNA binds the CDK9/cyclin T complex (known as elongation factor P-TEFb). The record is from Ensembl. NCBI's taxonomy places the organism in Eukaryota, Metazoa, Chordata, Mammalia, Rodentia, Caviidae.